This 266-nucleotide long non-coding RNA is filed under the name Gouania willdenowi (blunt-snouted clingfish). Its description in RNAcentral is "lncRNA (ENSGWIG00000007109.1)". Lineage: Eukaryota; Metazoa; Chordata; Actinopteri; Blenniiformes; Gobiesocidae. The record is from RNAcentral.
CUUCCACAGAGUCCCACCUUCUGACAGGCCUGGAAAUCCUCCUCUGCCUGGAGUGAUCCUAAUCAUAUUCCUAUUGAAGCUCUUAUGAACAUUGAAGUAAAACCUCUGAGGAGAAUUAAGUUAAACAGAUCUGUGAGGAAGAGGCAGCACUGAGUCAACAUCAAAGAUUGUCUUGUAAAAAGAUCAACUGAAGAAACAAAGCCAGACUUGGAAAAAGAUCAGGGCAAUGUUUCCUCCAUCACUGCAGAGCAGCCCUCAUCCAGCCC